This 527-nucleotide long non-coding RNA is filed under the name Salvator merianae (Argentine black and white tegu). RNAcentral's name for it is "lncRNA (ENSSMRG00000022789.1)". Lineage: Eukaryota; Metazoa; Chordata; Lepidosauria; Squamata; Teiidae. The record is from RNAcentral.
CAAAGGAGAGGCAUGAAGCAUGUAUCUCGCCCAGGGAAGUGAGCGUCCAUUUAUUGCCUGCUUGUUUUUCAGAUGCCACUGCCAAGGGUUAAAAUGUUUACAUACCCCCUGAAUUCAAAUGGCCUGUUACAUGUCAAAUGCCAAUGGGAAAGACAGCUGGAGUAUCUAAACUGAGUGCUUUGAUCUUAGUAUCUGUAGAAAGAGGUCAUUUGGUUUCCCCAAGAACCACAGACAUUUAGAUGAUCCAUGUGCGGCUCAAGCAAUGUCUAAAACAUCAGCACAGAUCUGAGCAGCAGAAGAAAACUGAGAUAGGACAGAGUGAAGAGCUGCCAUACUGUGAGAAUGCAUGGAUUCGCGUUGACAGUCCAGUGACCCAAACACCAUAUACUGAUUCUAAAGAUCUGAUGCAUGGAGAAUGCUAUGUGAACAAGGAUCAAAUUGACAUAGAGAACCCAAGAAUGUGCACCAGUGACACCAAAAGAAGAGGGAAGGAGGGGAUCUUCGUGAAGUCGACACUGAGCCUUUGA